RNAcentral lists this ribosomal RNA (456 nucleotides) under uncultured Sphingobacteriales bacterium. Its description in RNAcentral is "bacterial SSU rRNA". It matches the Rfam family "Bacterial small subunit ribosomal RNA", at positions 924 to 1382 of the family's 1533-position model. Lineage: Bacteria; Pseudomonadati; Bacteroidota; Sphingobacteriia; Sphingobacteriales. The record is from RNAcentral.
CACAAGCGGUGGAGCAUGUGGUUUAAUUCGAUGAUACGCGAGGAACCUUACCUGGGCUCAAAUGUAUGUUGACGUAUUCUGAAAGGGAUACUUCUUCGGACAAUAUACAAGGUGCUGCAUGGUUGUCGUCAGCUCGUGCCGUGAGGUGUCGGGUUAAGUCCCAUAACGAGCGCAACCCCUAUCAUUAGUUGCCAUCAGGUCAAGCUGGGGACUCUAAUGAAACUGCCUACGCAAGUAGUGAGGAAGGUGGGGAUGACGUCAAAUCAGCACGGCCCUUACGUCCAGGGCUACACACGUGCUACAAUGGCCGGUACAAAGGGCAGCUACCUGGUGACAGGAUGCAAAUCUCCAAAGUCGGUCUCAGUUCGGAUCGGAGUCUGCAACCCGACUCCGUGAAGUUGGAUUCGCUAGUAAUCGCGCAUCAGCCAUGGCGCGGUGAAUACGUUCCCGGGCCUU